AAACAUUUUAUACAUAUCAUCUUCUCCGAACCACCGGAACACCAUGGCAAGAAGAACCAAGCUUCGGCUUUGCUUCAAUUCAUGGAUGGUAAGCCAUCUUUCAUCCGAUUCUUUUAAUUUUUUUGUUUUUGAAAUCGUUGCAAUUAGGUCUAGCUAACUCGAACUUUCGAUUUUGAAACUGUUAAAGAUUUUGAAUGUUGCCAUUAAUGAAUCUUGUGUGAUUUUUUUAUGUUAAACGAUGAAUCUGAGAUAUUAAUUGUUAUUUAAAAGUAUUUUAUUAAGUGAUUUUUAAUGAAUUUUUUGAUUAGGGACUAAAUUAUUGAAAUAGUAAAAAUACAAGGAUUUUUUAUGAAAUUAUUGUAAAAAUGAAUUGUAUUGAAUGCCAUGAUUAUUUUGCUAGCAUGGGUUUGCAUUAAAAAAUGGUUAAUUUGUAUGUUUUGGGCUCAGGGACUAAAUUGAAUAAAAGUAAAACUUUAGGGGUAAUUUUGUAAAAAUUUCAAAAAUGACUAAAUUACAUUAAAUGAAUUUUUUUAUUUUAUAAAUUAAUAAAUUGAAUGAAAUUAUUAAUUUAGAUCAAAAUCGAGUGGAAAAUCGAGAAAAAUAGAAAAUUACCAAAAUGCCUUUUAAUAUUGGUGUUUCUGUAAUUUAGCCUAGUAAGUUCGUACGGUUAAAAUUUAACAUUUUUAUAAAUUGAUGAUUGGUAUUAUAUAUAUGUUCUAUUGUUGGAACUGAAUUAUUGUUGGAAAUAUAUUAUCGAAUUUAAUACUCAGUUUGGAUUGAACGCGAGAUUUGAGUACAUUCAUGAUUUGGUGUAUGACGGGGGUUUGGAGUGGAGAUGGUACUAGAGGGAGAUAUCGGUAUUUUACCCGAGUAAAUCGCAGUUCAGAAUUUGUUGCGAACUCUCGCAUUUUACUUUCUGUUUGGCGUGAUUCGAGUGGAUCAGCUCUUACAAGCUUUUGUUCAGCUCUUUUGAGCUUCUGUUGGCAUGUUUGGGAGGACCAUCUCUUAUGAGCUUCUGUUGACGAUGUACUCUUACCUGUAAGUCGUUCUUCGUAAGGAAAAUCUCGGUAAGAUAAUUUGUUUUUAUUGAAUAUUACCUGAACAUAAAUGAAUUCAUCAGUUGAGAUGGUGCAUAAUGCUUAGGUUUGUGCUAAGCUUUUGGUUGCAUUAUAUCAUGUUGAAUAUUAGUGAUAUACAUUGACAUGGUAAUUGGUUAAAUGGAAAUAAGCUUAUGUUCAUAAAAGGGUGAUAAGAUUCAAAAUGUGUAAUUUCUUAUAAAAUGGUUUGUCAUGUGAUUGACCCCAAAUGAGUUAUAUACAUAAAUGCACUAACUUGUAUAUUGAUGAUGGUGAUUAAGCUUAUGUCAAGCUUGAGAUUAUGAUUGAUAUAUAUACUUAUGUCUAGUAUUAUACAAAUGAAACCAUAAGUUCAUAAUUGAAAUGUGAUAUGAUGAAAAAUGGAUUGAUGAGUUGAAUGCUGUACUUAUAUAUGAGAAAUUACAGAUGUUAUGGUUGAAUUUACCUAUGUUAUGAAUAAAUAUAUUAAUAAAUUAAUUGAUGUUAUUAUUUAAGUUUAUGUUAGGUAAAUGGGAAGGAAAGUAAGUAAAAGAAAUUAUUCAUAGUUUUAUGAAAAGGUUAAUGAUGGUGUAAAAUGAUUUAUAAAAUCUUAUUACGUUAGGAAUGAUUAUAUAUAUGAUGUUGAUAAACUUACUCAUUUAUAAGUUGGUGGUUAUGUAGUUGAUAAAUCUUGAGGCAUUGGUAUAGCUUUAUAUUUAUCAUAUAAAGUUUAUUAUUGAAUUGGAAUAUUAUAUUUAAAGUUUGCUCGAGCUUACUAAGCAUUUAUUGCUUACAUAGUUGUUUACCCCUUACUUUACAGAUUAUCGGAAGUUCAAUUGGGUUGGAAGCUCAUCGAAGAUCUAUCACACUAUCCAUCGGUUCUAUUGGUACUUUCGGAUGUUUAGGUUUUGGUUAUAAUGCAUGUAUAGUUAUUCUGGUUAAUGUUGGCUAUUAGUAUUUUGUUGAGAUUAGCCACUUAUUUGGCUUGUGUUUUGGCACAUUUUGGUUUGUGCAUAUUUACCUUAUAUGGUUGAUGUGUGGUUUGGUUUAUGGUUGUAUAGUGAAAAGUAAAAUGUUAGCGAAAUGCAUUUUAUACAUGUGUUUUGGGAUGUAACACCCCUAACCCGUAUCCGUCGUCGAAAUAGGGUUACAGAGUGUUACAAGUUACCAGUACAUACAGAACAUUUACAGAUUAAUCAAAACAUUACUAUUAACUUUCUG
RNAcentral lists this long non-coding RNA (2276 nucleotides) under Gossypium barbadense (sea-island cotton). RNAcentral describes it as "long non-coding RNA (GBAR_LNC003598)". The record is from RNAcentral. Lineage: Eukaryota; Viridiplantae; Streptophyta; Magnoliopsida; Malvales; Malvaceae.